This 139-nucleotide ribosomal RNA is filed under the name Arabidopsis halleri subsp. gemmifera. RNAcentral describes it as "5.8S ribosomal RNA". It matches the Rfam family "5.8S ribosomal RNA", at positions 18 to 154 of the family's 154-position model. Rfam says of the family: 5.8S ribosomal RNA (5.8S rRNA) is a component of the large subunit of the eukaryotic ribosome. It is transcribed by RNA polymerase I as part of the 45S precursor that also contains 18S and 28S rRNA. Lineage: Eukaryota; Viridiplantae; Streptophyta; Magnoliopsida; Brassicales; Brassicaceae. The record is from RNAcentral. RNAcentral also lists the same sequence under 4 other names.
AUCUCGGCUCUCGCAUCGAUGAAGAACGUAGCGAAAUGCGAUACUUGGUGUGAAUUGCAGAAUCCCGUGAACCAUCGAGUCUUUGAACGCAAGUUGCGCCCCAAGCCUUCUGGCCGAGGGCACGUCUGCCUGGGUGUCA